AAAGGAGGGGCAAUACCGAAUAUUGUCCGGAACCGUGAAGGGUUUCGGGGAAAGGGAGGCCUCUGACACAAGCUUUCGCCUUAAGAUGAGCCCAUGGCCCAUCAGCUAGUUGGUAGGGUAAAGGCCUACCAAGGCUACGACGGGUCGCUGGUCUGAGAGGACGACCAGCCACACUGGCACUGAGAUACGGGCCAGACUCCUACGGGAGGCAGCAGUGAGGAAUAUUGCGCAAUGGGGGAAACCCUGACGCAGCAACGCCGCGUGUGGGAAGAAGGCCUUCGGGUCGUAAACCACUUUUACUCGGGACGAAAAAGGGAUAUCAAACAAAUAUCCCCGAUGACGGUACCGUGAGAAUAAGCCACGGCUAACUCUGUGCCAGCAGCCGCGGUAAGACAGAGGUGGCAAGCGUUGUUCGGAAUUACUGGGCGUAAAGAGUCUGUAGGUGGUUUGUCAAGUCUUUGGUGAAAGGCCGUAGCUUAACUAUGGGAAUGCCAAAGAGACUGGCAGGCUGGAGGCUGGGAGAGGGAAGCGGAAUUUCUGGUGUAGCGGUGAAAUGCGUAGAUAUCAGAAGGAAGGCCGGUGGCGAAGGCGGCUUCCUGGAACAGUCCUGACACUGAGAGACGAAAGCGUGGGGAGCAACAGGAUUAGAUACCCUGGUAGUCCACGCCCUAAACGAUGGGUACUAAGUGUGGAGGGGUUAAACCCUCCGUGCCGCAGCAAACGCAGUAAGUACCCCGCCUGGGGAGUACGGCCGCAAGGUUGAAACUCAAAGGAAUUGACGG
This 782-nucleotide ribosomal RNA is filed under the name uncultured bacterium. RNAcentral's name for it is "bacterial SSU rRNA". It matches the Rfam family "Bacterial small subunit ribosomal RNA", at positions 154 to 916 of the family's 1533-position model. The record is from RNAcentral.